This 118-nucleotide ribosomal RNA is filed under the name Pteropus alecto (black flying fox). Lineage: Eukaryota; Metazoa; Chordata; Mammalia; Chiroptera; Pteropodidae. The record is from RNAcentral.
UUCUAUGGCCAUACACCCUGAACACAUCCAAUCUCAUCUGAACUCGGAAGCUAAGCAGGGUCGGGCCUGGUUAGUACUUGGAUGGGAAACCACCUAGGAAGACGGGGUGUUGUAGGCG